Long non-coding RNA from Pieris brassicae (large cabbage white), 339 nucleotides. RefSeq lists it as uncharacterized. The record is from RefSeq and is a predicted model, not a curated record. The transcript is spliced from 3 exons. NCBI's taxonomy places the organism in Eukaryota, Metazoa, Arthropoda, Insecta, Lepidoptera, Pieridae.
AGUUAAAUGGGACUUCAGGUCUCCCCGAUAACAAAGUAUUAUCAACAAAACUUUCUGCUAUAAACGAUCUUAAAAAAUAUAUGAAAAGAGUGAUGCCAUUCGUUCAAGCCACAAGAGAUAAUCUACAAAAGAUUGGUCCCGAAGCACUCUCUGUUGCCUUGGCCUUUGAUGAGGCCCAACUGCUUGAAGAUAACAAACAAUAUCUGCUGAAUACUUUGGAUCUUGACGCAAUCGAAGUCAAACAUACAUACAGUCCUGAUACUCCAGAAAAAACGAUAGAAGACUGUGCGCCUGGUAGUCCACAUGUCAACUUUAUUGCGGUACCUGGACUUACAGUGA